GGCUCCAUGACCCAAUGGUGGGGCAGCGGAUUCCAAAUCCGAAGGUUGUGGGUUCAAGUCCCAUUGGGGUCA
Molecule: transfer RNA, 72 nt
Filed under: Pleodorina starrii
Lineage: Eukaryota; Viridiplantae; Chlorophyta; Chlorophyceae; Chlamydomonadales; Volvocaceae
Description: tRNA-Trp
Rfam family: tRNA
About the family: Transfer RNA (tRNA) molecules are approximately 80 nucleotides in length.
Source: RNAcentral